Molecule: ribosomal RNA, 154 nt
Filed under: Fomitopsis nigra
Lineage: Eukaryota; Fungi; Basidiomycota; Agaricomycetes; Polyporales; Fomitopsidaceae
Description: Fomitopsis sp. CY-2012 5.8S ribosomal RNA
Rfam family: 5.8S ribosomal RNA
About the family: 5.8S ribosomal RNA (5.8S rRNA) is a component of the large subunit of the eukaryotic ribosome. It is transcribed by RNA polymerase I as part of the 45S precursor that also contains 18S and 28S rRNA.
Source: RNAcentral
AACUUUCAGCAACGGAUCUCUUGGCUCUCGCAUCGAUGAAGAACGCAGCGAAAUGCGAUAAGUAAUGUGAAUUGCAGAAUUCAGUGAAUCAUCAAAUCUUUGAACGCACCUUGCGCUCCUUGGUAUUCCGAGGAGCAUGCCUGUUUGAGUGUCA